CGUCAAAGCUUGUAUGAAAGGCUUCUCGAGACCUUAAAACCCUACCCCAAUACUGAAUAAUUCCAUACAUCUAUGGAAACUAUAAUGUUAAAACUAGUAACAUGAAGUCUGAUCUUCUCUUAAAUGUAAGCUUAAGUCAGAAUGGACAAUACACUGACAAUUAACAAUUUAAACCAAAGUGACAACAAACCAAGAAAACCCCACUUAAACACCUGUCAACCUAACACAAGAGCAUUUAAAGAAAGACUAAAAGAAAAAGAAGGAACUCGGCAAAACUGAUUCCGCCUGUUUACCAAAAACAUCGCCUCCUGAAUAUGUGAGCUAUAGGAGGUGCAACCUGCCCAGUGACUCUGUUUAACGGCCGCGGUGUCCUAACCGUGCGAAGGUGGCGUAAUCACCUGUUUUUUAAUUAAAGACCUGUAUGAAAGGCAUCACGAGAAUCAUACUGUCUCCUUUCUCUAGUCGGUGAAACUAAUCUCCCCGUGAAAAAGCGGGAAUAAUACUACAAGACGAGAAGACCCUUUGGAGCUUAAGACUAAAUAAGUAAUUGUCUAUUUCUAUAAACCCACUUUAUCUUACAACAUUCUAUUUAUAAGUCUUGGGUUGGGGCAACCGCGGAGUAAAAAUAAACCUCCAAGCUGAACGGAACUUUCCUAAACAAAAAGCAACAACUUUAUGUAUCAAAAAACUGACACAAUUUGACCCAAUAUUUUGAUUAACGAACCAAGUUACCCUAGGGAUAACAGCGCAAUCCACUUCAAGAGUUCAUAUCGACAAGUGGGCUUACGACCUCG
This 794-nucleotide ribosomal RNA is filed under the name Eleutherodactylus greyi (Grey's robber frog). RNAcentral describes it as "partial 16S ribosomal RNA". It matches the Rfam family "Bacterial large subunit ribosomal RNA", at positions 1217 to 2528 of the family's 2925-position model. Lineage: Eukaryota; Metazoa; Chordata; Amphibia; Anura; Eleutherodactylidae. The record is from RNAcentral.